GAGCGGUAACAGGAGAAAGCUUGCUUUCUUGCUGACGAGCGGCGGACGGGUGAGUAAUGUAUGGGGAUCUGCCCGAUAGAGGGGGAUAACUACUGGAAACGGUAGCUAAUACCGCAUGACGUCUACGGACCAAAGCAGGGGCUCUUCGGACCUUGCGCUAUCGGAUGAACCCAUAUGGGAUUAGCUAGUAGGUGAGGUAAUGGCUCACCUAGGCGACGAUCUCUAGCUGGUCUGAGAGGAUGAUCAGCCACACUGGGACUGAGACACGGCCCAGACUC
Molecule: ribosomal RNA, 278 nt
Filed under: uncultured bacterium
Lineage: Bacteria
Description: partial 16S ribosomal RNA
Rfam family: Bacterial small subunit ribosomal RNA
Source: RNAcentral